GACGAACGCUGGCGGCGUGCUUAACACAUGCAAGUCGAACGGAAAGGCCCUGCUUUUGUGGGGUGCUCGAGUGGCGAACGGGUGAGUAACACGUGAGUAACCUGCCCCUGACUUUGGGAUAACUUCAGGAAACUGGGGCUAAUACCGGAUAGGAGCUCCUGCUGCAUGGUGGGGGUUGGAAAGUUUCGGCGGUUGGGGGUGGACUCGCGGCUUAUCAGCUUGUUGGUGGGGUAGUGGCUUACCAAGGCUUUGACGGGUAGCCGGCCUGAGAGGGUGACCGGCCACAUUGGGACUGAGAUACGGCCCAGACUCCUACGGGAGGCAGAAGUGGGGAAUAUUGCACAAUGGGCGGAAGCCUGACGCAGCAACGCCGCGUGCGGGAUGACGGCCUUCGGGUUGUAAACCGCUUUCGCCUGUGACGAAGCGUGAGUGACGGUAAUGGGUAAAGAAGCACCGGCUAACUACGUG
This 468-nucleotide ribosomal RNA is filed under the name uncultured bacterium. RNAcentral's name for it is "partial 16S ribosomal RNA". It matches the Rfam family "Bacterial small subunit ribosomal RNA", at positions 28 to 507 of the family's 1533-position model. The record is from RNAcentral.